GAUGAACGCUGGCGGCGUGCCUAAUACAUGCAAGUCGAGCGAACAGACGAGGAGCUUGCUCCUCUGACGUUAGCGGCGGACGGGUGAGUAACACGUGGAUAACCUACCUAUAAGACUGGGAUAACUUCGGGAAACCGGAGCUAAUACCGGAUAAUAUAUUGAACCGCAUGGUUCAAUAGUGAAAGACGGUUUUGCUGUCACUUAUAGAUGGAUCCGCGCCGCAUUAGCUAGUUGGUAAGGUAACGGCUUACCAAGGCGACGAUGCGUAGCCGACCUGAGAGGGUGAUCGGCCACAAUGGAACUGAGACAAGGUCCAGACUCCUACGGGAGGCAGCAGUAGGGAAUCUUCCGCAAUGGGCGAAAGCCUGACGGAGCAACGCCGCGUGAGUGAUGAAGGUCUUCGGAUCGUAAAACUCUGUUAUUAGGGAAGAAAAAAUGUGUAAGUAACUAUGCACGUCUUGACGGUACCUAAUCAGAAAGCCACGGCUAACUACGUG
Molecule: ribosomal RNA, 497 nt
Filed under: uncultured bacterium
Lineage: Bacteria
Description: partial 16S ribosomal RNA
Rfam family: Bacterial small subunit ribosomal RNA
Source: RNAcentral